RNAcentral lists this ribosomal RNA (253 nucleotides) under uncultured bacterium. RNAcentral describes it as "partial 16S ribosomal RNA". It matches the Rfam family "Bacterial small subunit ribosomal RNA", at positions 524 to 776 of the family's 1533-position model. The record is from RNAcentral.
UACGAAGGGGGCUAGCGUUGCCCGGAAUCACUGGGCGUAAAGGGUGCGUAGGCCGCACGGAAAGUCAGAGGUGAAAUCCCGGAGCUCAACUUCGGAAUUGCCUCCGAUACUCCCGUGCUUGAGGACUGGAGAGGAGUCUGGAAUUCACAGUGGAGCAGUGAAAUGCGCAGAUAUCAGGAGGAACACCUAUGGCGAAGGCAGCUCGCUGGGACGGUACUGACGCUGAGGCGCGAAAGCGUGGGGAGCGAACAGG